This 501-nucleotide ribosomal RNA is filed under the name uncultured bacterium. RNAcentral's name for it is "bacterial SSU rRNA". It matches the Rfam family "Bacterial small subunit ribosomal RNA", at positions 29 to 524 of the family's 1533-position model. The record is from RNAcentral.
AUUGAACGCUGGCGGCGUGCCUAACACAUGCAAGUCGAGCGGUAACGCGGGAGCAAUCCUGGCGACGAGCGGCGAACGGGUGAGUAAUGCUUCGGAAUCUGCCCAAUGGUGGGGAAUAACCAACCGAAAGGUUGGCUAAUACCGCAUAAGUCCUAAGGGAGAAAGCGGGGGAUCGUAAGACCUCGCGCCGAUGGAUGAGCCGAAGUCGGAUUAGCUAGUUGGUAGGGUAACGGCCUACCAAGGCGACAAUCCGUAGCUGGUCUGAGAGGACGACCAGCCACACUGGGACUGAGACACGGCCCAGACUCCUACGGGAGGCAGCAGUGGGGAAUAUUGGACAAUGGGGGAAACCCUGAUCCAGCGACGCCGCGUGUGUGAAGAAGGCCUGCGGGUUUGUAAAGCACUUUUAGUGGGGAUGAAAAGCUCAGGGCUAAUACCCUUGGGUCUUGACCUAACCCACAGAAAAGCACCGGCUAACUCUGUGCCAGCCGCCGCCGUAAU